CCUACGGGUGGCAGCAGUGAGGAAUAUUGGUCAAUGGGCGCUAGCCUGAACCAGCCAAGUAGCGUGAAGGAUGACUGCCCUAUGGGUUGUAAACUUCUUUUAUAUGGGAGUAACGUGCAGUAUGUAUACUGCUUUGCAUGUACCUUAUGAAUAAGGAUCGGCUAACUCCGUGCCAGCAGCCGCGGUAAUACGGAGGAUCCGAGCGUUUUCCGGAUUUAUUGGGUUUAAAGGGAGUGUAGGCGGGUUGUUAAGUCAGUUGUGAAAGUUUGCGGCUUAACCGUAAAAUUGCAGUUGAUACUGGCGUCCUUGAGUACAGUAGAGGUAGGCGGAAUUCGUGGUGUAGCGGUGAAAUGCUUAGAUAUCACGAAGAACUCCGAUUGCGAAGGCAGCCUGCUGGACUGUAACUGACGCUGAUGCGCGAAAGUGUGGGGAUCAAACAGGAUUAGAUACCCGGGUAGUC
This 460-nucleotide ribosomal RNA is filed under the name uncultured bacterium. Its description in RNAcentral is "partial 16S ribosomal RNA". It matches the Rfam family "Bacterial small subunit ribosomal RNA", at positions 338 to 795 of the family's 1533-position model. The record is from RNAcentral.